GACGAACGCUGGCGGCGUGCUUAACACAUGCAAGUCGAACGGAAAGGCCCUGCUUUUGUGGGGUGCUCGAGUGGCGAACGGGUGAGUAACACGUGAGUAACCUGCCCUUGACUUUGGGAUAACUUCAGGAAACUGGGGCUAAUACCGGAUAGGAGCUCCUGCUGCAUGGUGGGGGUUGGAAAGUUUCGGCGGUUGGGGAUGGACUCGCGGCUUAUCAGCUUGUUGGUGGGGUAGUGGCUUACCAAGGCUUUGACGGGUAGCCGGCCUGAGAGGGUGACCGGCCACAUUGGGACUGAGAUACGGCCCAGACUCCUACGGGAGGCAGCAGUGGGGAAUAUUGCACAAUGGGCGGAAGCCUGAUGCAGCAACGCCGCGUGCGGGAUGACGGCCUUCGGGUUGUAAGCCGCUUUCGCCUGUGACGAAGCGUGAGUGACGGUAAUGAGUAAAGAAGCACCGGCUAACUACGUGCCAGCAGCCGCGGUGAUACGUAGGGUGCGAGCGUUGUCCGGAUUUAUUGGGCGUAAGGGCUCGUAGGUGGUUGAUCGCGUCGGAAGUGUAAUCUUGGGGCUUAACCCUGAGCGUGCUUUCGAUACGGGUUGACUUGAGGAAGGUAGGGGAGAAUGGAAUUCCUGGUGGAGCGGUGGAAUGCGCAGAUAUCAGGAGGAACACCAGUGGCGAAGGCGGUUCUCUGGGCCUUUCCUGACGCUGAGGAGCGAAAGCGUGGGGAGCGAACAGGCUUAGAUACCCUGGUAGUCCACGCUGUAAACGGUGGGUACUAGGUGUGGGGUCCAUUCCACGGGUUCCGUGCCGUAGCUAACGCUUUAAGUACCCCGCCUGGGGAGUACGGCCGCAAGGCUAAAACUCAAAGGAAUUGACGGGGCCCCGCACAAGCGGCGGAGCAUGCGGAUUAAUUCGAUGCAACGCGUAGAACCUUACCUGGGUUUGACAUGGAUCGGGAGUGCUCAGAGAUGGGUGUGCCUCUUUUGGGGUCGGUUCACAGGUGGUGCAUGGCUGUCGUCAGCUCGUGUCGUGAGAUGUUGGGUUAAGUCCCGCAACGAGCGCAACCCUUGUUCACUGUUGCCAGCACGUUAUGGUGGGGACUCAGUGGAGACCGCCGGGGUCAACUCGGAGGAAGGUGGGGAUGACGUCAAGUCAUCAUGCCCCUUAUGUCCAGGGCUUCACGCAUGCUACAAUGGCUGGUACAGAGAGUGGCGAGCCUGUGAGGGUGAGCGAAUCUCGGAAAGCCGGUCUCAGUUCGGAUUGGGGUCUGCAACUCGACCUCACGAAGUCGGAGUCGCUAGUAAUCGCAGAUCAGCAACGCUGCGGUGAAUACGUUCCCGGGGCU
RNAcentral lists this ribosomal RNA (1345 nucleotides) under uncultured bacterium. RNAcentral's name for it is "partial 16S ribosomal RNA". It matches the Rfam family "Bacterial small subunit ribosomal RNA", at positions 28 to 1381 of the family's 1533-position model. The record is from RNAcentral.